RNAcentral lists this ribosomal RNA (440 nucleotides) under uncultured bacterium. RNAcentral's name for it is "bacterial SSU rRNA". It matches the Rfam family "Bacterial small subunit ribosomal RNA", at positions 338 to 795 of the family's 1533-position model. The record is from RNAcentral.
CCUACGGGGGGCUGCAGUAACGAAUCUUCCGCAAUGCACGAAAGUGUGACGGAGCGACGCCGCGUGUGGGACGAAGUUCUUCGGAAUGUAAACCACUGUCAGGGGUUAGAAAGUUCUGAUCAACCCCAGAGGAAGGCACGGCUAACUCUGUGCCAGCAGCCGCGGUAAGACAGAGGUGCCAAGCGUUAGGCGGAAUCACUGGGCUUAAAGCGUGUGUAGGCGGACUUGUAAGUACCUUGUGAAAUCCCACGGCUCACCCGUGGAACUGCUCGGUAUACUGCGAGUCUUGAGCCACUUAGGGGCUGUCGGAACAGACGGUGGAGCGGUGAAAUGCGUAGAUAUCGUCUGGAACGCCAACGGUGAAAACAGACAGCUGGGAGUGUGCUGACGCUGAGACACGAAAGCCAGGGGAGCGAACGGGAUUAGAUACCCUAGUAGUC